This 496-nucleotide ribosomal RNA is filed under the name uncultured bacterium. RNAcentral's name for it is "partial 16S ribosomal RNA". It matches the Rfam family "Bacterial small subunit ribosomal RNA", at positions 29 to 507 of the family's 1533-position model. The record is from RNAcentral.
AUGAACGCUGGCGGCGUGCCUAAUACAUGCAAGUCGAGCGAACAGAUGAGGAGCUUGCUCCUCUGACGUUAGCGGCGGACGGGUGAGUAACACGUGGAUAACCUACCUAUAAGACUGGGAUAACUUCGAGAAACCGGAGCUAAUACCGGAUAAUAUAUUGAACCGCAUGGUUCAAUAGUGAAAGACGGUUUUGCUGUCACUUAUAGAUGGAUCCGCGCCGCAUUAGCUAGUUGGUAAGGUAACGGCUUACCAAGGCAACGAUGCGUAGCCGACCUGAGAGGGUGAUCGGCCACACUGGAACUGAGACACGGUCCAGACUCCUACGGGAGGCAGCAGUAGGGAAUCUUCCGCAAUGGGCGAAAGCCUGACGGAGCAACGCCGCGUGAGUGAUGAAGGUCUUCGGAUCGUAAAACUCUGUUAUUAGGGAAGAACAAAUGUGUAAGUAACUAUGCACGUCUUGACGGUACCUAAUCAGAAAGCCACGGCUAACUACGUG